Molecule: ribosomal RNA, 375 nt
Filed under: uncultured bacterium
Lineage: Bacteria
Description: bacterial SSU rRNA
Rfam family: Bacterial small subunit ribosomal RNA
Source: RNAcentral
UAAUACGGAGGUGGCUAGCGUUACUCGGAAUUAUUGGGUGUAAAGGGCAAGUAGGCGGCCUGGUAAGUGGGGGGUGAAAUACUCCGGCUCAAUCGGAGAACAGCCUUCCAAACUGCCUGGCUUGAGUGUGACAGAGGAAAAUGGAAUUCUCGGUGUAAGGGUGAAAUCUGUAGAUAUCGAGAAGAACACCAGAUGCGAAGGCGAUUUUCUGGGUCACUACUGACGCUAAAUUGCGAAAGCUAGGGGAGCAAACAGAAUUAGAUACUCUGGUAGUCCUAGCCGUAAACGAUGAGCACUAGGUGUCGGGUCUUUCGGGAUUCGGUGCCGCAGCUAACGCAUUAAGUGCUCCACCUGGGGACUACGGUCGCAAGGCUA